RNAcentral lists this ribosomal RNA (990 nucleotides) under Triticum aestivum (bread wheat). Its description in RNAcentral is "partial small subunit ribosomal RNA". Lineage: Eukaryota; Viridiplantae; Streptophyta; Magnoliopsida; Poales; Poaceae. The record is from RNAcentral.
AUGUCCACCAUGUACUUUUUCUCCGUGGGCAUCGCGGCCCUCGCCGGGGUCGCUGUGAUGUUCCAGUCCUCAUGGCGCCUCCUCUAUGCCGUAACCUCCCUGCCCUCCCUCGCGUACGUGUUUGCUGUCAUGCCGUUCGUCUCCGAGUCUCCGCGGUGGUACCUUGUGCGCGGGCGCGCCAACGACGCCAUGCGCGUCUUGGGCGACAUCGCGUCCGCCAACGGCAGGUGCAUCCCGGACAACGUCGUGCUCAAGCUUGACGAUGAGGGGGACGACGUCAACGGCGCCGAGGUUGGCGCCGGCAAAAAAGCGGAGGAGCUGUCAUCGUCGGGCACAAUCAUAGACGCGUUCCGCUCACCGGCGACGCGGAUCAGGCUCGUGCUCUCGGUGAUCAUCCACUUCCUCUGCGCGGUGGUGUACUUCGGGCUGAGCCUCAACGUGGUCAACCUGAAGACAAACCUUUACGUCAGCGUCGUCCUGAACUCGCUGGCCGAGAUGCCCUCUUACGUGCUCACCGCGCUGCUUCUUCAGCACUUCGGCCGCAAACCAGUCGCCAUCGGCAUGAUGCUUCUCAGCGGCGUCUUCUGCACGGCGGGCAGUCUCAUCGCCGGCGCCGGUGCCGAGAGGGUGGUGAGGACGGUGUGCGGAGUGGUGGGGAUCUUCGGCAUAUCGGCGACGUACAACCUGUUGGCCGUGUACACGGCGGAGCUGUUCCCGACAGUGGUGCGGACGGCGGUGCUCGGAUGCGCGAUGCAAGCGUCGCAGAUGGGUGCCAUACUAGCACCGCUGGUGGUGGUGCUCCGUGAGCGCGUGCCGUUCGCCGUGUUCGGCAUGUCGGGGAUCGUCGGCGGGCUGUUGUUCUUAUGCCAACCCGAGACGAUGAACAAGCCCUUGUAUGACACCAUGGCUGGCCUCGAGAAAGGGGAGAGAGCGUCUAGAAGUGAAGACGAAGGUGCAGCAGCAGCAGCAGCAGAGAACUCCGAAAUUUAG